CUAACUUGUAACAGGAAGGUCCAGCCAUAUGAAUUUAUCCUCCUCUCCUUUUCUUUCUCAAGAUACAGGAGGGCACAGAGAUGUGUGUCACUUACUGUCCCUGGAAGACACAGUAGAACUAGUAAUCUCCUUCUCUAUUGGCUUAUUGUCCUUUUCACCUUUCUCUUUUUGUUGGAAUGCAGUCCUUCCCUGUUUUUCCUGCACUUGGACACACCUAGGCUAGAGCAUGAGACUGGACGUGUCCAGGUUCAUCUUUAUGGACUUGCUGAUUUUCUGCUGGAUUCAGGUCAGAAGUCACAGUCUGUUGCAGAUUAUUCCUCCAAAUGAUACAUUUCAAGGGGAAAUAAUCCUUUUGAUUUGAUAUUGUCUUAAUAUUUUUAAGAAAUUGGAAAGUUAUUAAACAACCCCCAGGUUGAGAAAUACAGUCCAUCCCAAGGUUUUUUGGUUAUACUGUAGAAUUACACUGCAUGGAGCUAAACAGUAAUUUCAAAAUCUCCUUUUUGUUUGUUUUGGUGGUUUAUGUUGGUGGUGGUGGUGGUUGGUUUUUUGGGCAGUUUGUUUGGGUUUUUUUGUUUGUUUGUUUUUUUGGUUUGUUGUUUGUGGUUUGGUUUUUUCAGUCUUCCACACCUGAGGAGUCUCAUGUAGCUCUCUUCUUUCUGGAGCCCAAAACUCCUUCUUAGGCAGAAUUCUACUCUGAACUGAUGACUUUUUUCCUUUGAAUCCUUUCCUUAGUGAAAUAUCAGGUUCUUACCUUGGUUUCAAAGGGUUAGUGUUGGAAUGAUUUGCAUAUGGCACAAAUUCCAGCUUCUGCUUUUCAACAAGAAAAGAAGCUGAACAUCCAGCAAGCGAAUUUUAACAUGCUUUUUGAAAGCCUUGCAAUAAAUCAAAGGCAGCUGGGUACCCUUCAGCAGCCAUGUGUGGCCAUUCCAGCCCUUCCAAUAUGUACAGGGAAUGCAUUUCAAGAAAUGGAUGAUGCCUGCUGUAUUGCCAGCUUCCUGGAGGAACCCACCAUGACAAAGUAUUAACAAAGAUAGGCCUGAUUAUGAAUUAUGCUGCUGGGGUAAGAGCAAUCUUUUAAUCUUCUCAUUUUUAGGGAUUUGCAUGUCCUACCUUGUGUCU
Molecule: long non-coding RNA, 1119 nt
Filed under: Zonotrichia albicollis (white-throated sparrow)
Lineage: Eukaryota; Metazoa; Chordata; Aves; Passeriformes; Passerellidae
Description: lncRNA (ENSZALG00000010816.1)
Source: RNAcentral